Molecule: non-coding RNA, 13654 nt
Organism: Phasianus colchicus (ring-necked pheasant)
Lineage: Eukaryota; Metazoa; Chordata; Aves; Galliformes; Phasianidae
Source: RefSeq, a predicted model, not a curated record
UUUAUUUGGUCUCAGUGGAAUCAGGGGAAGUCUUUACUGAAUAAAUGUCUCAAAGGCGUGACCUGUCCCUCAGGGAGAGGAGUUGAUACGAAUAGCAGUGAUACGCCCCAACCAGACUGGGAGAUCAGGGCUGCUGCUGAGCCGCUGCUGGUCAGUGGGUAUCACGUGCCUGAGCUUUUUACGUACAGCCGUGUGCUCAUCUGCUGCGUGUUUUGUUUUUGUCGUGUUGUCGUUAUAUGUUAGGUCUUAAUUCUCCUUUGUGGGGCAGAAUUCAGUUUCAUGUGAGGAUUGGAGGUCUGGAAACGUACACUCACUAACUUCAGAAAAAUCAUUUUCACACUUCUAUUGAUGUACCAGUUCAGUUUAAAUACUAUUGACAGAGUUGGGCUGAAAUGAGUAUUUGUUGCUGACUCAUAAUUGUACAAAUUAGGAUUAAGCCUUCUCAUAAGGUAGUAUAACAUCUGGAAGUCUGUGUGCAAGUGCUGCUUGCUUUGUUCCAGUCAGCAGCCCUCCUCUGUUUACUGGAACUCAGACUCAGUACCAAAAGAAUGGGGCUGCCAGCGUUCUCAUACUGGCAUCCUCAGCAGUUUUUUGAUCUGCAGUUGGUUACAGGAUUGGCUUGUUUGCAGUGAAACAGGUGAGGGGGGAUUGCUUCUGAGUGCAGUGGAAGUAAGCUUUAGAGUCCCUAGUUUUGAUUUUAAGAACGGGUUAUUUGGCUCACUAAGUGAAGCAGGGUUAUAGCAAAAGUAUUGGCAGUAUUUAUUUCAAAAAGUCAUAGUGCAGUUACCACAUGAAAGCACCAAGUUUUUAUUGUAAGUGGACAUGUAGGUCAUGUAAAUACAGCUCUGGCUGUGCUGCUUUUUGUUUACAUUGUGGGCAACAACGUUUGCAAAUAUCGCAUCCAGAAUUCCGAGCUCAUACAACUAAUUUAAAAACAGCCUUUGCUAAGGCAGAUUCCGAGGGAAUAUUUCAUGAGAGCUGCAACAAUGUGUGGGCCAUUCCAUAAUCUGUGGAUGUCAUUCGUGCUUUUGGUUAUCUUUUGUAAUUUGAUGGCUGAAUGGCGUUGGAAAUUGGAAUUUUUACCUACCAGUAACGUUAACUAACUCUUUAAAGCUUGUUUGCAUGUGAAUGAUUUCCUUAAAAUUAUAAGCAGUGACAGGUUUGGUGACCUUGUUGGUGUUGGCAGUGCUGUGCAGGAGCUGGGUAUGUCUGCAGAGCUCCAUCUGUGACCUGAGUUAGCCCUAGGAGAGCUCCUGGGCCACACUGAGGGAUUUUGUAUGCUUUUUGCAGCAGGUGAUGUUUGCUUUUCUCUUUCUGCAGCUGUAGGAGAAACAUUCAAAUAAUGAGAACGUUUUAGGGCUCAUGUUAGCAGUGGGUAUUUUGGUAUUUGUGUUCCAUGCUUGUCACUGGGGGUGUUCCUUGAAGGCUUGCACGCUGCGGAGCCAGACACCGCCUCUGUGGAUUGCAGUUGUCCUCUCACUGCCAUCCCUGCGCGCUGCUGGAUGCUGAGGGAGCGCUCCCUGGCCGUGCUGCUGCUGGGGAGGAGCUCGUGGUGCUGCUGGUUCUGAGCCGUGGUGGGGCUGAGGUGGGAGCUCUGCUGUCAGCUCCAGCCUGAGACCUGCAGCGUUCAGAAGAAAAUGGGAUAUACCGAGGGGAGGUUAGGAAAGAGAAAAGGCAGACAGCAGCUGUUGUGUAUGGGAGAGAAGAUUCGGAGUUGCUGCUGCUGGCAGCAGAUUUAGCUGGAGUGGGAGCAAGCCUCCAAAGGAGGGGGAUCCAGGCCAGGGGGCAGCCAGAGGUACAACAGCUUCUGUUGGAGGGCCCGACGCUUGCGUAGGGCUCCAGCCAGAGCCUGAUGGGUGCAGUGUGAUGGCAGGCAGGCAGUAGGCAUGCUGAGGUUGCUAUUUUGUUAGCUUUCAUGCUACAUAACAUCAUCUGUUUAUUUAGAAAAGCAUGUUUUUCACCCCAGUCAGAGUCAUUUCCCGUGAAAAGCAAAGCUCUCUUGCUGGGAGGACUGCUGGGUUCUGUGAAACACGAGAGCGACCAGAAAAGUUACAGAAAAUCUUGAAACACAGGGGAAUCCUUCCCUGCAUUUCUUCCAUCACCCACGUACCUCCCAGAAUGCCAGUAUGAGAGGAGAGCAGGGCAAGGAUACAGUUCAUGUCUGGGCUGUGUGCACAUCCUGGGCAGGUGUUUGUGAUGUGCAGUGUGGGCUGUACCCCCACCAACACGUGCAGCUGCUGGCACGUACCACCAAAGUGUGGCACAUCAGCUUUUAUAGACAGUUUGUUAGUUAGAGUUUGAAAUGCCAAGCUACUUCUGAUCUUAGAGUGGCAAACUUGCCCUGUAAGCAACUUUCUAGAUUUCACGUAUGACUGCAUUAGUAGAGUCUAUAAUCUGUUGGCAGUUACGGCUGCUGGAGCUUUGCAAUUUCAUUAAUUUUAUGUGCUAAUAAAUGGCUCAUGGGCAGCUCCCUCUUACCAACCAAGGCAGUAGUCCUGACUAAAAAAUCAAGAGACUUAACGAAGGAGAAUGAAAUGUGGAGAUCUUUUUGUUCGACGUCAUCUUCUGCUCUUCUAGCUCAGUGCACUUGAGUGAGGUUUUCAAGUUUUUCAUUAUGUUUCUGCUUUUUAAUAAAAACACACUGAUUCUCAUGAGGCUGGGGAGACAUCAUUUGCCUCAAGAACUGUAGUCAGGUUGUAAGUUGUCGAUACUGCAGCGUGUCAUCCUGCUGGCAGGGCUGAGCUGAUGGCUGUGAAUUGGCCAGCGUGCAUCUAUGUGCAGUGCUGCGGAUACCCCGGGGCUCUGAGCCUCCAGCUGGUCAGCAUCACACAGUUGUUAGCAGUACGUGGUGAGAAACACCUGUGAGGGGAGCACUCUCAUCCCAGGUGUGUUGGGUCCUGGCAGGCAGGGGCUGGGUGUGUGUGCCAGGCACCAGACAGGCACAGAGGGCAACAAGCCCGGGCUACCUUAACUGCAAACGAGUGACUCAGCUGUUUCUGCAGAGUUUGGAGUUUCAGCAGAAUAUUUCUUUUUCCGCUAUGCUGACAGCUUUUCCACCCACGUAUUGCAAACGUGGCUUUGUGCCAUGGAGGUAUUUUAGGAUUAUAAAGCGUAGUGUAAAUUUUUAGAGUUACAUACGAAAAAAGGUGCCUUCUGGAUCUUGAAAUCUGUAGGUUGUAGGUAGACUGGGGAAGUAAGGGAGUUCUUUGUAAACCCUGAGGCUUGGAGGAGAUGGAUCCCCAUCUCCUGUCAAUCACCUGUUUUUAUUUAUUCCACUGAAGACCAGGCAGUGUUUUCAGAUGACCUGUAUCUACAGAAAUAGAAUACUCUGAAAUCCCCCAAAGUUUUGGCAGAGCUUUUAUUGUGGGCAGUUACUCAUUCGCACACCUGGUACGUACUGUUGGUCCUGUUAUUGUAAGGCAUUCCCAAACAGUCCUGCAGGGAAAAUAAACUGCAGAGAGAUAUACAGGAAAUUAACCAUAAUAAAACGCAAAAGGUUUCUUAAUCUGUCAAGUGUAUUGCAGUGUUCAGUGAGUUACUGUACUCAGCUGAAGAUGAAAUUGGUCGGAGUGUGCCUGUGAUGUUACUGCAGCUCGCUGAGCCACACGCAGAUACACACAGUGCGCCCAGCCGGUCCUUUUUCUGUCCUUGCUGUGAGGCUGUGCUCCUGGCUGUCGGUCUGGGACCUCUGCGUGGAUCAGGCACGGCAGGACUGAUUGAGGAGGAGGACAGCCAGGAGCUGGGGUUGUGCUCGGUCAUUUCUGUGCUCAGGCAGCCAGCUGUGGAAUCCAAAGGUUUGCUCUGUUGUCACAAAUUUUUUAUGCCACAAAUGCUGAUGCGGCAGCAAAAGCCACUAUCGAGGGCCUCACCACAUCAUGGGAAUGGAGAAGAGAAAGAGCAGAAAUCCAGAGAAACGCUGUUAGUGACCAGUAACCGCCAGGGCAUGGCAGAUGGCUCUUGUGAAGCUGGCAAGGCCACGGCUUCUCUAGACUCCCUGUCAGCUGGAGGGGCAGUAAUUCAUCGGUGAUGUCUGCAGCAGUCCUCAGUUCGCUUUUCUGGUUGGAUUUUGGGGUUUGGGUGUCUGUUUUGUUUUGGUCUUUUAAGAAGUUACUUCCAAAGAAAAGAUAUAAUAGAAUAUGACAGCAUAUAUUAAGCAUAAAAGCAUUAUGUUCCUCUGGGAGCUGUUGGAGGAGAAGCAGCCGAGCCGCUGAAAUGCAACCCCACCACUGCCAUGAGUGCCCGCCAGCAGGUCAGGUCUCUGCGGUCGUGCUGGGCGGGUCUUGGGGAACCAAAGGGACAAGUGACUUUUGUCCCUGGCCAGCAAGAAGCCACUAGGCAUGGAGACAAGCUCUCCCUGUUUCACCCUCAGGCUGCCAGCGGGCCAGGAAACGAGUCCUCCCAGCACCUUGCGCUGCAUGCUGUCACGCUGUCUGUGUCACAGCAGGGCAGCCUCCACCACGGCUCCUUCAGUGUCACAAGGAAGGAGAACAGUCCUGCUCCAUUGCUGGAGCACUGGCUUGGCAGCCUUUGUCUCUCUAGGCUGAGAAUGGGGGUUCGUGAGCCUGAAAUUCAAAGUGAAGCUGGUGGAUGUGAGUGCCAUGGGAACCAGAGCAAGCUGGAGGUUUACACGGAUCCCCGCAGGGUUAGGGCUGCCGAGUUUCAUAUGGUGCUAGAAAAAAAACAGUGUCUCUGGAAUAAAAAUCUGUCUGUGUCUCGAGGCAGCUGUGGGCACCUCCAGCCAGCACCUGAUUCACUUGCGAACAGUUACCUGCGAGGCAUCUCAGCUGGCAGACACUUGUCCGAGGCGCCGGAGGCAGCAUGGGCUGUUUUCAGUUUAAUCUAUUUUUAAUGUGGCGCCUUAUUCCAAACUGCUGAGUUCUCACAUUUCCAAGCCGUCGUGGUAAUAGGAUUGUGCAGCCUUAUUGGCUAGAGUUUUCCACCCCCAGUGCCAAAAGUUAGGCUCCUAAAUCCAUAUUUAAAUGCCUAAAUGAGGCUGACGAAUCCUGCAGGAGUCAGUAGGAACUGGACGUGGUCUGCACCUUGGAAAAUAACCAGGCCAUUGGGUGUGUGAGCAACGCCUUGCUGUAGGCACCCAGAUGUUGUGUUUUUAUCCAGAAUGGCUGUGCGUGUCAGUGUGAAGGAGGGAGGUGAGAUUAGUGCAAACAGGAGCUUUGUUGAGAAUUUGGAAAUGGGAUACACUGAGAAUUGUAGCAAGUGCCCAUCCCUUGCGUUGGCUUCAUGUCUGCACUACUUCCGUACCCACGAUCUAACACUGCAUAUUUUUACUCUGCUACCUUCUUCUGCUACUUCUAUUUGUGGCACCCUGCUAGACUUGUUCCCAAGCCAAUCCAAAAUUCUUCUGAAACUCCCUUUGCUAACAGCAGCAUGAAAGCAGAACUCCGCAGCGGCUGCAGCAGCUAUGGCAGGGGUUUGCUUUUAGCUGAGUGGUGUUGGUCACUUCAGCCUUUUGAGUUGGACUGAAAAUGGGAAUGCUGUCUGCCAAGAGAAGCAGCUUGUAAAAGUUGUAUGAUGUUGCUUUUUUCAUGGCAGACCUGAGAAAUUCUGUAUGUGAAACUUCCAGGCGGCACUUGAAAUAUGUGCUCUGAUUGCUUUGUGUGGAAGGCUUCUUUUUUGUGUUAAUACUGCAAGGUAACACAUAAGACCAUGGAAGUACAGUGUGCUUUCAUCCAGAUGAGGCAGAAUUUAUUUAGCUUGAAAGCUAAAUAGUACUGCAGUAUGAAAGUGUCAGUUCAGUUUUUAUCCUGUUUUCUACAGAGGAGGAAUAAACUGUUUCCAGAGUCUCACCAGAAGAUAAAAUUCCCUUGGUUAGUCAAUGGCAAUGUGCUGGAGACUUAGAAAACUUCAGCAGACCACAUCCUUUCGUCCAGAGAGCACGGAUGGAGUGGAGGAACCUUUUUCUGGUGCUUUGGGUACCCCAUUACCCUGACCCAUCAUAGUGCUAGCUGACUGCUGGCCCAGGAGCACCAGGGAUGAACACUGGGUGCAGUGCUGUGCAGCCUUAAGAGCCAGAUCCUGACGUCAAGAGCAGAGCUUAUGUGCUGAGGCUUCCCAAACAGUGUGUUUGAUGUCUAGAGGACAGCCGGAAAAAUGCAGCUGUUUCUGCGAUCUCCUUCCACUCUCAGUUCCCUUGCCAUCUCAUCUGAAAACAGCAACUUCAUGCAUGCUUCAUGCUUGUGUCUUCUGAGGGCUUCCAGGGUCUCCCCAGGGACAGAACCAGCAAUCCUGCUGAAACAAGAGAGUGCUACUCCCUCCUUCUGGCUGGUGUCAGUCUUCUAAGUCACUGUCAUUUAUUUUAGAGCAUUCACUGGGGAAGCGAGUGACCUGGGUUCAGUGCGUUCCUCAAUCUGCUCAUCUCUCACUUCCCAUGAGACAGUCUAAAAGCCAGCCUCCAGUUAUUCUGGGUGAAACCCUUCAGCAUGAAACCAUGCCUCCCAGUAAUGGGGCGUUUCUGCUUCCUGUCCCACUGUUGGUCAGCAGCUUGUUUCAGAGUGAAGCUAUCAGGGCUUCAUGUUGUGAGGAAGCUCAGGUACAGUUGUCUCGCUGGGAGCUGGAUUGCCAGACCCCACUCCGCUGGCAUUUGGAGAAGACAUCCCUCAAUCCUUGUGUGCCUGUGAAUGAGAGUGGAAAAAUGCAGCUCCUUGGAGAUGCUGUGCUGGUGUGGGAGCAGAAAGCUUGCAUGUGAAUCAGACCACAGAGUGCAGGUGACUGAGGGGGAGGAACCUUGCUGAAACUGGAAUUCAGUGCCUAAGUCAGGUUUAUGAACUGUCUAGUUUUAGGUAUUUGGUUGGUGGUAACUCCUUGAAGCUUGUCUCUGCUUUUGGGUCUGCACCCAAGGGUCCUAGUGGGUCAGCCAGGAUCUCUACUGCUGCUCUGAUAAACGUUUGCAAGGUUUAUUAAAUGUGCUCUCUGACGUUCUUUUGUGGAGACAGUAAUUUGACAGUCAUCACGUGAGAAACUCCGAAUUUGCCAUCUGGCCCGGCAAGACUUAGUUCUUCUCACCAUUAAUUAAACUGACGUUACUGCACGCUUUUAUGAUGGUGGUUAUGAUCUGUCCUGUGAUAACACCAGGGCUGGUUCUGAGGCAUGCACAGCACCUUCCACUCGCAUGACGUUUGUGGGUGGUGCAGCCGAGCACCUCUGGACCUCAGUGUCAUCUCUAAUAACUGAGUUUCAGGGCCCCACUCAGGCACCUUCCCCUGGAGCGGGUUCUUCUGGUUCUGAGGGGAUGGUUUCACAAGUAGGAAGACAUAGCUAGGGGGGAAGAAGGGGGCAGCUGCUUGGCUGUAAUAGAGUUGUAUAACAUGCCCUGACAGGAGAUCUUACUGACCACAGCUUCGCCCUGCUUGGUGAGGCUGUGACCAUUAAUGGGAAAGUGGAUUGGCAGCAACAGAUAGAGCAGGGAGCAAAAAGAGAGGAAGGAAGUGAAAUAGGACGACAGCCGAAGACAGCUGCAAAAAGCAGGUAGGCACAUUGUGGUGGCAGCUGGAGUGUGGAAGAAGGAAACUAAGCUUCUUUGGUAAUGAGACAGAAGGUGUCUGUAUCCUAUCUGGAAUGGACAUGUGUGGUGCCCAGCAAUUUAACCUGUUUGUUAUCCCCCUUCAGACCCCGCUCCAGGUGCUGGAUGGCAGAGUGUUUCCUAUCUUCAGUGGUUUCCAAACUGUGACUUGGCAAAUGGGCUGAGACUGGUAGGUUUGAAAAAAAUGCUGGAGUGCGAGGCUUGGGAGAAGUCAUUCCCAGCACUAACUCUUGCCAUUUUUCUCUUCCCUGUCAAAGCCUUGAAUGCUCAACUGCUCAGAGUUAACUCAGCAGCUUCAAGAGAUUCAAUAAUAUUUGUUUUUACCCAAAUCCCUCGAAGUCUGAGGGAAUGGAGACAGAAUCAGUUUACUGAGAUGAAAAGCCAAGAAAAGUAAAUCAUCCUUGGGUCAGGGUGAGCUCUCAUUUGAAGAGGCCACAGAUGGCAGGGAUGUUCAUGAAUCAGCAGUUUCACAGACCUCUGCCCAUUCAGGGAGUAACGCGUGUAAACAAACAUGAAAACGGCACAGAGCCGCAGAGCUUUCCAGAUCCUUCCUGUUCCUUCCAUGCAGUCGAGGGGGCCCUCCUCAGAGGAACCAGACAGAAGAAAUGGGCUGCUGCCUUGGACUCUGGGCUUGUCCCAGGAUGGUCAUCCUAUGCCUGCUUCAGCUGUGUGAGAGCCGGAGGCUAGAUUGACGGCAGGAUGUCCCCUCUUCUCCCAUUCGUGCAGCCAGGUAUGCUCUUGAGUACAGGAGGCAGCUGCUGAGUAGCCUGGUGGCAGGCGUUCGGAGUUAUCUGAGAUGAAGGGAAGGAAGGAGAGGUGAGGUAAGGACGUGAGCUAUUGCACCAUUGCACUGCUGCAGGUGUGGAACAGCUCCUGUACAUGUGUGCUUUGUGAGGUGGGCCUGCCCCUGGUGUGCUCCUGCUCUUUGAUUCAUGCACUGGAUCCACGUGCUGCUGAGGCUGGGACCUUAGAAGCCCCACAGAGCUCUAGCCUGUCUGGUGUUAGGGACGUUCUUCCUGCAAUUAUUUGAUGUUUGUCAAAUGUUAUGCCAGAAAAUGCAACCAGAGGGAUGUGCUGAGAGCCCCCAGUUUGGUAGGUCUGUGUUUGUAUUCCAGGGCCUGCUGGCCAAGAGAUGCAGUGUUACUUCCAUGCUGCCCAAGCGUCAGCCUGGGCGGUGCUUCUACCAGAAGAUAACAUAUAAGUGAUGAGAACUGGCCAAGUCAGUGACUGUGCCUGAAUUGUAUUCGAGACUUUGUCAUGGUUUGAACCAUGACAGACUUUUUGUGAGUAGUCUAUUUGGGAUGAAACACAGCCCAAAUCUUCAAACCGUUGUGUGGGAUGGCAGCUGUGAGACUUCUAUUGAAGCUGCUAGGCAUCACACAACCAAAACUUCUGAGUGUGCUUCUAAUGAGGAGAUGCUGCUACUAAGGCUCUGAGACAAAGGGAAGUGAGGGGAAAAUGGACUCUGCCAUUCCCCCAGGAGCAACACCUCACAACAUGUCAAACCUAGCAAUUGUAUGUAAGGAGCAAUUACAGUGGAUGUCACAGGAGAUGUACAGGGACAUCUAAGGCAUUGGGAUUUAUUAUCAGUAAAUCAGAUACUUCAAGUUCAUUGCGAAGUUGGAGAACAUCUAACUGUGUAAAGGAUCUGAGGGAAUUGGAUGAAGUGAAUUUUGUGACUGUGAAGUCAGACAAUUAAGUUGUCAUCCAUGUUUCCAGAUAAUAGAAAAAUCCUUUGAGAAAGUUACUUCUCAAGGAAAUGUCUAUCUCAUAUAGUAAUGAAUAGUCAAGAAAGCAGCUGUGUUUUUAAAAAACAUGUAUCCACCAAAUAAUUACAAGUUGGUAUGCUUAAGGAGGGAAGAAAUAUGCAAUUAUUUGGUGUUAUUCUUUUGAGGGUUUCUUGUGCUGGUGUCCACACUGUGGCAACAUUAUCUUAACCUACUUUGACUGUCAGUGGUAGAGCAUAGUAGCUGGGGGUGGCCGAGUGCACAGUGGGAUCUGCCACAGCGCAGUGCAGUGCAGACGUGCUGGGGGUGGCUGUGACCUGGGACCCAGCAGCUGGGGGUGAGCGCCUGGAAGAGGAUGUUUCUGAGUGGUGCUACCUAGAGAAAAAGCAGCCUGCUGGUGAGAUUCAGGAGUGUGAAGCACCUUAGGGCAUCAGGGUUUAGAAAGGGGUGGAAGAACAUGGGACAGAAAUGAGCAGUACAGAGCAGUGACAUGCUUGAUGAAAAGCCAGCCUUACUGAGUGAGCACAGUCACAGAAUGAAAAGCUGCCCACUGGGCAGAUACCAGUGAUCAUACCAUAAGCAGGAAAAUGGCAUCAAUCUAGACACAGUGCUUUUUGUGACUCUUAAGGCAUUGAUGGAUGAAGACUCAAUGAAGAGAAGCUUCCUUUUUCUUAUGUUUUGACAUCUUUCAGGCUUAAACAUGAACUAACUACCAUUAUCCUAAUUUUACAGAUGGGGACAGACAGGUUAUGUGACAUGCUCCAGGUCACAUGAGCAGUGUGUGUCAGAGUGAGAAACAGCACCUGGAUCUCUCAAUUGUGAAGCUGUUGCUCUUGGCACUGCGUCAUCCUGACUGCAAACAAAACACUGAGAUUGACUUUGCCUGUGUCCUUCUUAUGCCUACAAAUGUGCCCACCUGCCAGCUUCAGAGCCAGCAGUCCACACCAUGUACCCAAGGCAAGCCUGAUGCUUCUGCACGACAUCCAAAACUAUCAGUGCUGGGACCAGAGAGACUAAUAGGAAAACUUAAAAUUUUUAAGUCUGCCAGCCCAACAGCUCCUCUGGAAGAGCAUCCAGACGACACAGCGGGGAGCAGGCACUGCUUGCCUGCACUCAGCAAUGUGCUAUUGAAUCACUGGGCCACAAAGCAAGUGCAUGCGAGGGAGCGUGGCUGCCUUUCCUACCGGUUUGAGCAUUCACAUGGGAGUUUGAGAGUCUGGACUCUGCUCCCAGGACUGUUUAUGCAUUUUACGUGGAACAGUCACCAGGCAUGCUGUGGACCAUCCAUCAAGUCUGUACCACCCCAGUUUGUUUUGGACAGGAGACAAUGUUACAGGCUAUUCUAAAACCAGAGUAAGUGACAUCCAAACAUCCCUAACUUGUUCAUCCAGCACGUCAUUUUAGCACAGAAGACAACCAUGUUGGCCACAUACAGUUUGACCUUAGUAAAUCCACGCUGCCUGUUCUGAGUCGCAUUCUUGUCCGUGUGUUUGGAAAUGGCUUCCAAUGGAUUUGCUUGGUAAUAUUCCCAGAUAAAAAAUGUACUGAUACCUUAAAAAUUACAUCUAGUUCUUUGCUAAUGCUUAGGCUAAUCCCUUUCAGAAGAAGCCAGUUGAUUACAUGUGUGGAGUUUGUGACACCUACGGCAUGAGCCUGAUGUGCUGGUUGAGGGAAUUUUUGGUAGGGAGCGGCUGAGCAGGUCAAAUUCAGAAGGAACCUAGGCAGGACACGCCUACUACUUCUCUGUUGGGAGUCUCUUUUUUCCCAGCCUGGCCACCAUGAGUGACCAUCCUACUGUUGUUGCUAUGGCUUUUGUGUUACCAUAAGGCAGUUCUAAACGGAAGAAACAGGAAACAAGGAGGAACCAGAUCAACAGAUGGUAGAGCAUGGUAUUGUCUGACCCAAGUGCCAACCCAGCAGGGAUUUGACUGGUUUUGAAAGAGGAAGAAAUAAGAGAGAAGGGGUAAGGUUAGUUGUUUGGAGAGUUGGGUGCAGGCCUGGUCAUUUCUAGAGAGCAUGGGUAUUUCAGUCAACAGGAAGGGUCAGGCACUUGCCAAAAUACACACUAGCACAAUGGCCUGUAGCAGGUUGAAUUCACAGAAGACGGUUGAGUUUCACUAGGUAUGACUCUGGCAAAGCCUUUUUCCUGCUCUGGCCACGCAGUCCGACCUGGUGACUUUCCAACCAUUUUCUUUCUUACUUUCUAUCAUCAUACUUAUCUAGCUAUUGUAGUUCAGGCCCUUGUGAACCAAUCUGGCAUGCCCUUGGGUGGCUUGAAGCUCUCUCCUUGUGACAGAUAACAGCACUUGCUCCCAGCCAACGUGACACCUCUGAAGUCUUCUGAAUCACUCCUUUUGUAUGGAAAACUCUUGGUAAUGCUAGUCAGAACUGGCAGGAGUCACUGGUGUGUUCACAGCUGGAAAGUUUGGCAGACCAGGUACGUCCCCUGUGACUGGAACUAGAACAGGUAAUUGCAAUUGAGGAAAGAGGCAGGAAGGUGCAGUGGUGGGAGGCAAUGAGCCUGAGUGCAUGAACACUUGGGCAGGCAGCAGUGCACAUGGCUUGCUAAUUAGACAAAAUAUAUGUAAUCCUGUCAUCUUUUACUGUACCAAUAUUAAUGUGAUUGAGCAGCUGAAUUUCUGCCUCAUUUGCAAUCUUCUUACCUAGCGCAUUAGAAAACUUUCAGCAGUGGCACACAGAAAAGCAAAUAGGACAUUGGUGUAGAGAUAAGCCUGCUGUGCGUGUGCACGUCCAUGUGCAUCUCUGAAGGAGACACAGUCUCAGGCAUGUAUGGCUAAGGUUUAUAUUGCUCUGCACGGCUGGCUGAGGUUUGAAGGUCUGAAGGUAAGUGUGUGUGUACCUGCAUGCUGGAGUGCAGUCCCUCAUGCGCUAAUGAAAUCUGACUUGCUGGGUCACCCUCCUGCUUCAUUUGCAGUGACACAAUAUCAUUUAAAGUUGUUUGCUUAUUACAGAGAUAAUAUCACAAGGUGUGGUGCCCUGAUGGGAGCCUAGCAAGAAAGUAACACUCAUUCACCCACCCACCUUUGGCAGAUUGUCUGAGGGUCCCUCAUUGGCUUCGUGACGGAAAGCGGUUGAUUCACCUCCACCCAGCGGUAAUUACGUGUUGCUGCCUACUGGAAGUUCCCAUGUUUGGCAUUGGACUGAUUAAAGCCAUUCUCCUUUGCCGUCUGUCAGACUGUGUAAAAUGUCGAUUCCCCCUCCUGCUUGUGAACUCCCUUCUGGAAAGCCACAGUGAGCCUUUUCUUAAGUUGGUUCCUUUCCCAGAGUUGGUCUUAAAGGACAUCCCACAGAAAUCUGCUCUCAGCCAGUGCCUGCAGAUGUAGCCCUCUCCUACUCGCACUUACCUCUCCUGGAUCCUGUUAAUGGAUGGAUUACUGGACAGAGCCCAGCUGUGUGAUGGUGCUGGCACACUGAACAGGAAGCAGCAGUUCUUGCUUUGAGCAUCAGCCAUCACAGAGGACCUGAGCAAUGAACUGAGUGUGUAGAUUUAUUUGCAGGGUGAGGGAUGAUUAAGGUGAGGCACCUUUGACACACUGAUGGACUGGGAGAAGGGGCUUUGCUAGAUGCCUGAUGACUGCCCAUGGGAUACAGCUGGAAAAGGUCUUUUGUUUCCACCACAUGGUAAGAUCAUCACCUCAGGAGUGUCCCUGCUGCUGCCCAUACCCAGCAAAGCCUCAGGCCCAGCGUGCCCAGAGCUCUGCUCCCAAACUCACAGUGCAAGCAGUGUCACACAGGCUGCAGUCCUCAGUGUGACAUCAGCACCGAUGGCACUGCUGGCCACCAUGGAUUAGGCAUGAGCUUCUUCACCCUGCCAAAGGCCCCUUUGGGUUCUUCAACCCAGCUGACAGCAGGUGAAGGCUGACACUGCCUGCUGCUGUUCAGCUUGAAGGAGCUGAUGGUGUCAGGCUGCAGGGGCAGCUGGGUGACACCAUGUAAAGAGCCGCAAAUUGCUGGCCAUCCUAGCAGAGAGGGGAGGGAGGCCAUGACCUGCUGCUCCCCACUGCAGGCACAGCCUUGGUGGCAAAGUUUGGCUGCAGCAGAUGAGAGAUAAGCCCUGUCUGUAAUCACAGCACACAGCCUCCAGGAAAGAAGUGAAGGCUCCAUUCUGCUGUGGCACCCAGCCCCUACCUGCACGGAGCAGUUGUCACUGCCAAGGAGACGCCAGGUGAACUCAGGAAAAGUGAAACAUCGUGAGAAAAAACAGGGAAUGAACCAGAGAGACAGAAUCUUACAAUAACCCCAGUGUAAACACAGGCCUAGUUUUUAUCUUGUGCAGAGAGAUUGUUUUUGAGAACAAAUGCAGAGUGAAAUGAAUUCAUAAACCUCUGUACCAGGUGCAAUCAUUAGUCAGUAAAUGAAUUACACAUAA